ACGCUCGACACCUACGGGNGGCAGCAGUGAGGAAUAUUGGUCAAUGGGCGCUAGCCUGAACCAGCCAAGUAGCGUGAAGGAUGAAGGCUCUAUGGGUCGUAAACUUCUUUUAUAUAAGAAUAAAGUGCAGUAUGUAUACUGUUUUGUAUGUAUUAUAUGAAUAAGGAUCGGCUAACUCCGUGCCAUCAGCCGCGGUAAUCUGAGCGGGCUGGCAAGGC
RNAcentral lists this ribosomal RNA (218 nucleotides) under uncultured bacterium. RNAcentral describes it as "partial 16S ribosomal RNA". It matches the Rfam family "Bacterial small subunit ribosomal RNA", at positions 328 to 539 of the family's 1533-position model. The record is from RNAcentral.